Molecule: unclassified non-coding RNA, 3418 nt
Filed under: Hevea brasiliensis (rubber tree)
Lineage: Eukaryota; Viridiplantae; Streptophyta; Magnoliopsida; Malpighiales; Euphorbiaceae
Source: RNAcentral
GGAUAAUUGGCUUCAUAGAUGGACAUGAUAACAUGUAGAAAUUAACAAAGUUCUACCAAAUCAACAGCACAUCAAAUACCCAGAGGAGAAUCUACUUUGUGAAAGAACGUGAGAAAUUGAUAGAAAUAGCAAGGUUUUUAGCUAAAGCAAGACAUACCUUUAAAUAUCACACAUAUAGAUGUGCAUCAGAUUGACAUAAACUUUGGAAGGAAAGCAGAUUCAAUGGUGCAUUCAUCCCACUCAAGUCCAUCCCACCAUUCCUUGCUCCCGUACACUGUUGGUAAUGUCAAGUUCUUAUGAGUUUUGAUUGGUAGCUUUUUCAGCCGCGGGCAAUCAAUCACAGCAAUGCUUUCCAGGGAAGGAAAAACCAAUGCCCAUUGGGUGAUACUUUUCAGCUCAGGAAGGUCUCGUAUAGAAAGAGUUUUGAGGUUAGGAAAUGCCUCUGAAUCUUCCAUUUGUAUCAUGUCCCUGCUAACUAUUUCUUCAAUCUCUUUGCAGUACAUCAAGUAAAUAACUUCUAGCUUUGGAAGUUGUAUAACCCACGAAACAUUCUUCAACCUAUGGCAAUGCCAUAUAUUUACGAAACGAAGAUUUUGCAGACAUUUUCGAGUCACAGGAUUCUUCCACACUAUUGCUAGGCUGGGAAGGCCAUGCAAAGCAAGAACUUCCAGGGCGGGAAGCCAAUUGUCUCCAGCCGCUUUAUCAACUUGCAAGUAAUGUAGGUCAUAACAGUUAUUGAUGCUAAGCCUUCUCAAACUUCGGCCAAAACUGGAAUUUGAUGAUACUUGUAAAUAAAGCAAGUCUUUACACUCUUUAAUGUACAAAUACUGUAUACAUUUCAAUAAGCUACCGAAAUUAUCAAGCCUCUUCAGGGUCAUCAAUUCCUUCACAGUUAUUCCAAGUGUGGUCAAGUGCUUCAAGCAUUCCAAGUCUGCAAUUCCAACUUCAUUCACACCCUCACAAUUGUGAUCUUCCCAACCUGAAUAACUAUAAUAAAAGUUCAGGACUCUCAAUUGCAAAAGGCCUGAUACAGCCUUUUGUGGAAUUGUUCUAAGAGAACUUGUUCGUUGUAGAUCCAAAUGCUUCAACUUCACCAGAUCUCCAAGCUCUUCAGGCAAUUCUGUUAUCUUUGUUCCUGAUAAAUCAAAAUGUUGCAACUCAACUAAUUUGUUGAUAGAUGCAGGGAUCUCUCUAAUACUGGUUAAUGACAAAUCCAGAACUCUUAGGGAAGGCAUAAAUUGGAAAAAUGCAUUUGGAAUUCUGCUCAAGCCACUGUUAAAUUGAAGAAGUAAGGUUAAUAAAUUGGGGCACUCAGAUAACUCUGUUAGAGUAGUGAUUCCAUUGUCCAUCAACGAAAUUCUCUGAGCUUCCUUCCACCUUUCAGCUAUGGGUGCUGCAGUGAGCCCCAUACUGGCCUCAACUAGAAAUAAACCCUUGUUGAAUCCACACUCAGUUGCUAUCCACAAAGCAAAACUUCUGAUAACAUCAUGCAUCUUUACUUGGGUUUUUUCUUCACCAGUUUCUAAUAGGCAUGCAACUUUCAGAGAUCCAAUGAUAGCAUGUCCUUUAUUAUGGACAUCACUGUCAUGAGAGCUGUCUAGAAAUCCUUCCCCUAUCCAAUACUCUAUAAGCUGCUCUUUAUCAAUAGAGUAGUCUUCAGGGUACAGAGAACAGUAUAAGAAGCAUGACCUCAAUGUAUCAGUCUCCAGAUUGUCAUAGCUAAAUUUUAGAAGAGUAAAUACAUCUUCCAUACCUCUAAGUUCCGAUGGAGAUCUGCUUAGUACGUCUAUUGCAUACUUCCAUUCUUCUUCAGUCUCUUUAUUAGCCAUGGCUUUCCCAAUGGUGAUUAAGGCAAGCGGCAAUCCUCCACAUUUUCUGACAAUGGUCUCAGCAUAAGGUCGAAUUGAUUCCAACUCCAAAAUCUCCCUUCCUCCAACCUUGUCACCGAAGAGUUUCCACGAGUCCUCCUCUCCCAAGAAUUCCACUUUCAGCUUCCGGUGAGCAUCCAUGUCGCUGCAAACAUCCAGUGAACGUCCUGUAAAUAUCACCUUGCAAUUGUUUUCCUUUUGUGGCAGAGGAAUUCCAAUAUUCUGAAGAUCAAUUCCUUCCCAAACAUCAUCCAAUAACAGGAGAAAUUUUUUCUUUCUCAUAACUCUACGUAUUUUUAAUGCUCGCUGUUGCUGGCUUUCACUCUCUUCCCAAGACAAGCCUAACCUGGUCCCAACAGCCUGUUGAAUCUUAUCAGCAGCAAAAUCCUUUGAGACCACAACCCAUAUGACUACAUCGUAACAGUGUGAUGUGGUAAGAAAUUCAUUGUUAAUACUCUUCAACAGGGUUGUCUUCCCAACGCCUCCCAUUCCGUAAAUUCCAAUGGUUCCAACUUCAUCCUCAGAAAGAAAUUGCAUAACCCUCUCCAACAUCAUACAUGGGCCAACAGCAGGCCUAUUAGGCACCUCCUGAACUGCUUCAGGAGACAACCUAUCUGCUACAACAGUAUCAAAAGCUCCUUUGCCAAUAAGUUCAUUAAUUUCUCUUUGCAACUUUGAAACUUUCUUGCUCAGCUUGUAUUUUGAACAAAAAUUGGCUGAGCAACACCCAUAGCAUUCAUUUCGCUGCCCAAGACUUUCUAUGAUCAAGCUUGCUUUAGAUUCAACAACUUCUACUCUUUCUAGCCACCCUUGGACUUGGUUUGUGCAGGUCAACCCCUCCAAAUCAGCACGACCAACCCUUCUCUUUAAAUCAUCGCUUUUAUCCUUCAAUUCCUUUAGUGCAGUAGUGAGGGAGCGAACCAUUUGAUUCACAUUGACCACAUUGCUCACCCUUGUAGCAAUACUUUUGCAAGAGCUACAAAUUAUCGGAGUCAGACCCACAAGUUCCAUGAAAGACAUCUCUCUGCUCUUAGAUAAGAAAGAAAAGAGGAGACAGAGAAGAAGCAUAAACUGAAUUGCUGCUUACUUCCUCUGCUGCUCACGUCUGAGUGGUGAAAUGAAGAGAUGAGCUUCUUGAGUUUGUGCCCGCACCCAGAUAAGAGAAUGCAAUGAAUAUACCAAUUCCAGCCUCCUUCAAAUGAUCCAUUGGAAAUGACUGCUGACCAACUCUCCUUCCUGGAGAUAAUUUAUAGAAGCCGCCAAUGUGGAAAAUUUCCAAGUUGACUAACCUUAUCGUGUGGACUUUGUUUAAACAUCAAUACGACACCUUUUUAUUUCUUUUACAAACAGUAUCACUUGAGUCACUGUUCCAAAGUAGUGUUUUCCUAUUACCGUACAAGGAAAACAAUCUUUCUCAACUGUAAGGAACACCCAACUCUUCAUUUAUCAUCGUUAUCUAACCCCGGUGUUGGGUAAAACGAAAUUAUCCAAUUCUUUUCCUUUCAUUUUACCUAAUCCACAGUCAGUCAUCUCCUAACAGCUACCCUUUC